UACACAAAAGCACCCAAAUCCUUGGUUAUUCGGGUGGUAAAAUUGGGUUGACCCGUUUACGACCCGACCCAUGUAAUUCAACUCAUACCGAUUAUAAACGGGUCGGGCCGGGUUGAUGCCUUGAUGGGUAGGAAAAAUUGCCACCCCUAGCUGUGUUUCAUUUCAGUUACGCACUUGCAAGGCUUCAAGAUGCCGUCGAGAAGCAAGCCUGUACAAUCGUGUUAGAGCAGCAUCCAAAUUAUGUACCCGAAGAUGAAAAUCAAGAUGAACUCGAGGAUCCUGAUGAGAAUAGUAAUUCUUCAAGAGGGACAACUUCUGAAAUGAGGGAAGCUCGUGAUAACAUUGCUCACUUAUUAUGAGAGUCAAUGUGAUAAAUUGUUUUUACAUUAGCUGUUUUUGGCGAUGCAUAGACGAGAGAUCCUUGUUUUUGGAAA
Asparagus officinalis (garden asparagus) is the source of this 434-nucleotide long non-coding RNA. RefSeq lists it as uncharacterized. The transcript has 3 exons. NCBI's taxonomy places the organism in Eukaryota, Viridiplantae, Streptophyta, Magnoliopsida, Asparagales, Asparagaceae. The record is from RefSeq and is a predicted model, not a curated record.